GCCGAUUAAUAUUGAAGAGUGCAUUGAGAAUGCAGAGAAGUUUGAGUCGGAUUUGGAUUGUCUUACCAAGGACAUUAUCAUUACUAAAUAGACUUCAUUUGUGGAAACUUUGAUUUUGCGCGAGUCUACCACUACUAGCACUCUCGUGGCUUAAGCUGGACAUGGACCUUGGAUCAAUUUUGAUGUAGUUCUCGAUUGUUGUUGGCCAUCCAUCCUAUCUCUCUCCAUGACAUUUUCCAUCAUCUUGGAUCAAAGAACUUUUUUAAUUUAUUUUACUUGGAGAUGGGAUAGAUAGAUAGAUAGAUAGAUGAGUUUAAUUUACUAUUAUGAAUUUUCAAUUUUACCAUGU
Molecule: long non-coding RNA, 349 nt
Organism: Rhodamnia argentea
Lineage: Eukaryota; Viridiplantae; Streptophyta; Magnoliopsida; Myrtales; Myrtaceae
Exons: 3
Source: RefSeq, a predicted model, not a curated record